CCUAGUUAAUUCUACUAGUAGUUAUAUACUUAUCUUAAAGAUUAAGCUAUAUAUAUCUAAGUAUAAGCAAUUAUAUAAUAAAACUACAAAUAGCUUAUUAUAUAAGUUAUUAUUUAUUUAAUAAUACCUUACUACUUAGAUAACUAUAGUAAUUCUAGAGCUAAUAUAUACUAAAAAUCCUAACUUAUAAAGGGAUAUAUUUAUUAGAUUAAAAACUAAUACCCUUUAGAGCUCACUAGUAAUUCAUAAUAACUUCUUAAAUUAUAUAGCCUUACGCUAGCGAUAGUUUAUUUAAAUUUCUUCCCUAUUAACUUUUAAUACUAAAGUAGUGUUCUAGCAUAGUUAUAAUAGGUAAUAGAGGGUUAAAGCUUAACCCUAGAGAAGGAGCCUGAGAAAUAGCUACUAUAUCUAAGGAAGGCAGCAGGCAUGCAAAUUACCUAAUCUUAACAUAAAGAGGUAGUAAUAAUAAAUACUAAUAUAGGGCUCUUUUAGGUCUUAUAAUUAGAAUAAGUACAAUUUAAAUCCCUUAACGAGGAAUAAUUAGAGGGUAAGUUUAGUGCUAGCAGCUAUAAUAAUUCUAGCUCUAAUAGUAUAUAUUAAAGUUAUUAUAGUUAAAAAGCUUAUAGUAGAACUUUAAGCCUAGCUAGCUAGUUUACCUCACUAUAUGUAUUAGUCUAGCUAAGCCUUUCCCCCUAUAGAACCUUAUACCUUUUAUUAGGUAUAUAGGAAAAUAAGACUUUUACUUUAAAAAAAUUAGAGUGCUCUAAGUAGGCUUAUACUUAAAUAUAUUAGUAUAGAAUAAUAGAAUAGGAUAUAUAGUUCUAUUUUAUUAGUUUCUAGGACUACUAUAAUAAUUAAUAGGGAUAGUUAGGGGUAUUAAUAUUUAAUUAUUAGAGGUGAAAUUCUUAGAUUUAUUAAAGACUAACUACUGCAAAAGCAUUUACUAAAGAUGUUUUUAUUUAUUAAGAACGAAAGUUAGAGGAUUAAAGAUAAUUAGAUAUUAUUAUAGUCUUAACUAUAAACUAUACUAACUAGGGAUUAGAUAAUAUUAUUUUUUAACUCAUUCAGUACUUUAUGAGAAAUUAAAGUGCUUAGGCUUUAGGGGGAGUAUAGUUAUAAAGCUAAAACUUAAAGAAAUUAAUAGAAGGGCACCACUAGGGGUAAAUAGAAGCUGUUUCGCUCUACCCUAUAUAGCAAGCCUAUUAAGGGUUUAGUAGUGCUACAUAUAAUUACUAGUUACCUCUUUAGUAGCAACAUCCUUAAAUUAUAGGAAACCCUCUAAGGGUGAUACUAUUAAGUAGGGCUUAAGAGAGCUACCCUAUAGCAGCAGAGUAACUACUAUCAGUAUAAUAAGAAUAUAUCCACCUAAGAGGCUACUUACAGCUAAGCUCCCCCUAACCUAAAGAGAAGGUCUAGAGACUUAAUAGGGAUAGGUUAAGCUGCUAUAGCCCUACCUAAGAUAGAGUCUAUACCUACUAAAGAUAGCUAGAAAUCAAAAACUUACGCUAGCCCUCUAGCUAGCAGCAAGCUACCCUAAAAGAGAGCCUACAGCUUAAUUUAACUUAAUAUAGAGAAACUCACUAAGUCUAGAUAUAAUAAGAAUUAAUAGAUUAAGAGCUCUUUCUUAAUUUUAUAGGUAGUAGUGUAUAGCUAUUUUUAGUUAGUAGAGUGAUUUAUCUACUUAAUUAUAAUAAUAAAUAAGAUUUUAACCUGCUAAAUAGCUUAUAUUACUUUAGCAGUAUGCUAGCUUCUUAGAGGGACUAUCAGCUUAAGCUAAUAGAAGUUUAAGGUA
RNAcentral lists this ribosomal RNA (1792 nucleotides) under Colletotrichum gloeosporioides. RNAcentral describes it as "SSU rRNA". It matches the Rfam family "Eukaryotic small subunit ribosomal RNA", at positions 3 to 1452 of the family's 1831-position model. Lineage: Eukaryota; Fungi; Ascomycota; Sordariomycetes; Glomerellales; Glomerellaceae. The record is from RNAcentral.